This 2886-nucleotide ribosomal RNA is filed under the name Vibrio parahaemolyticus. RNAcentral describes it as "23S ribosomal RNA". It matches the Rfam family "Bacterial large subunit ribosomal RNA". The record is from RNAcentral. Lineage: Bacteria; Pseudomonadati; Pseudomonadota; Gammaproteobacteria; Vibrionales; Vibrionaceae.
GGUUAAGUGACUAAGCGUACACGGUGGAUGCCUUGGCAGUCAGAGGCGAUGAAAGACGUAGUAACUUGCGAUAAGCCCAGAUUAGGUAGUAACAACCAUUUGAGUCUGGGAUUUCUGAAUGGGGAAACCCACGUGCAUAAGCACGUAUCCUUACCUGAAUACAUAGGGUAAGGAGGCGAACCGGGGAACUGAAACAUCUAAGUACCCCGAGGAAAAGAAAUCAACCGAGAUUCCGAAAGUAGCGGCGAGCGAAAUUGGACUAGCCCUUAAGCUUUACACGCGUUAGACGAACGGUCUGGAAAGUCCGACGAUACAGGGUGAUAGUCCCGUAGUUGACGACGUGUGUUCAGUGAAAUCGAGUAGGGCGGGACACGUGAUAUCCUGUCUGAAUAUGGGGGACCAUCCUCCAAGGCUAAAUACUACUGACUGACCGAUAGUGAACCAGUACCGUGAGGGAAAGGCGAAAAGAACCCCUGUGAGGGGAGUGAAAUAGAACCUGAAACCGUGUACGUACAAGCAGUAGGAGCAGGCUUUGUCCUGUGACUGCGUACCUUUUGUAUAAUGGGUCAGCGACUUAUAUUCAGUGGCAAGGUUAACCAUCUAGGGGAGCCGUAGGGAAACCGAGUCUUAACUGGGCGUUCAGUCUCUGGAUAUAGACCCGAAACCAGGUGAUCUAGCCAUGGGCAGGUUGAAGGUUGAGUAACAUCAACUGGAGGACCGAACCGACUAAUGUUGAAAAAUUAGCGGAUGACUUGUGGCUAGGGGUGAAAGGCCAAUCAAACCUGGAGAUAGCUGGUUCUCCCCGAAAGCUAUUUAGGUAGCGCCUCGGACGAAUACUACUGGGGGUAGAGCACUGUUAAGGCUAGGGGUCAUCCCGACUUACCAACCCUUUGCAAACUCCGAAUACCAGUAAGUACUAUCCGGGAGACACACGGCGGGUGCUAACGUCCGUCGUGGAGAGGGAAACAACCCAGACCGCCAGCUAAGGUCCCAAAUUACUACUAAGUGGGAAACGAUGUGGGAAGGCUCAGACAGCCAGGAUGUUGGCUUAGAAGCAGCCAUCAUUUAAAGAAAGCGUAAUAGCUCACUGGUCGAGUCGGCCUGCGCGGAAGAUGUAACGGGGCUAAGUAGUAAACCGAAGCUGCGGCAAUACUCUUUGAGUAUUGGGUAGGGGAGCGUUCUGUAAGCGGUUGAAGGUGUGUGGUAACGCAUGCUGGACGUAUCAGAAGUGCGAAUGCUGACAUGAGUAACGAUAAAGGGGUGAAAAACCUCCUCGCCGGAAGACCAAGGGUUCCUGUCCAACGUUAAUCGGGGCAGGGUAAGUCGACCCCUAAGGCGAGGCCGAAAGGCGUAGUCGAUGGGAAACGGGUUAAUAUUCCCGUACUUCUUACAAUUGCGAUGGGGGGACGGAGAAGGCUAGGUGGGCCUGGCGACGGUUGUCCAGGUUCAAGUGCGUAGGCUUAAGAGUUAGGUAAAUCCGGCACUUUUUAAGGCUGAGACACGACGUCGAGCACCUACGGGUGUGAAGUCAUUGAUGCCAUGCUUCCAGGAAAAGCCUCUAAGCUUCAGAUUGUAAGGAAUCGUACCCCAAACCGACACAGGUGGUCGGGUAGAGAAUACCAAGGCGCUUGAGAGAACUCGGGUGAAGGAACUAGGCAAAAUGGUACCGUAACUUCGGGAGAAGGUACGCUCUUGAUGGUGAAGUCCCUCGCGGAUGGAGCUGACGAGAGUCGCAGAUACCAGGUGGCUGCAACUGUUUAUUAAAAACACAGCACUGUGCAAAAUCGUAAGAUGACGUAUACGGUGUGACGCCUGCCCGGUGCCGGAAGGUUAAUUGAUGGGGUUAGACUUCGGUCGAAGCUCUUGAUCGAAGCCCCGGUAAACGGCGGCCGUAACUAUAACGGUCCUAAGGUAGCGAAAUUCCUUGUCGGGUAAGUUCCGACCUGCACGAAUGGCGUAAUGAUGGCCACGCUGUCUCCACCCGAGACUCAGUGAAAUUGAAAUCGCUGUGAAGAUGCAGUGUACCCGCGGCUAGACGGAAAGACCCCGUGAACCUUUACUACAGCUUGGCACUGAACAUUGACCCUACAUGUGUAGGAUAGGUGGGAGGCUUUGAAGCACGUACGCCAGUAUGUGUGGAGCCGUCCUUGAAAUACCACCCUUGUAGUGUUGAUGUUCUAACGUCGACCCCUUAUCGGGGUUGCGGACAGUGCCUGGUGGGUAGUUUGACUGGGGCGGUCUCCUCCCAAAGAGUAACGGAGGAGCACGAAGGUGGGCUAAUCACGGUUGGACAUCGUGAGGUUAGUGCAAUGGCAUAAGCCCGCUUGACUGCGAGAAUGACAAUUCGAGCAGGUGCGAAAGCAGGUCAUAGUGAUCCGGUGGUUCUGAAUGGAAGGGCCAUCGCUCAACGGAUAAAAGGUACUCCGGGGAUAACAGGCUGAUACCGCCCAAGAGUUCAUAUCGACGGCGGUGUUUGGCACCUCGAUGUCGGCUCAUCACAUCCUGGGGCUGAAGUCGGUCCCAAGGGUAUGGCUGUUCGCCAUUUAAAGUGGUACGCGAGCUGGGUUUAGAACGUCGUGAGACAGUUCGGUCCCUAUCUGCCGUGGGCGUUGGAAGAUUGAAGGGGGCUGCUCCUAGUACGAGAGGACCGGAGUGGACGAACCUCUGGUGUUCGGGUUGUGUCGCCAGACGCAUUGCCCGGUAGCUAAGUUCGGAAUCGAUAACCGCUGAAAGCAUCUAAGCGGGAAGCGAGCCCUGAGAUGAGUCUUCCCUGAUACUUUAAGUAUCCUAAAGGGUUGUCGGAGACUACGACGUUGAUAGGUCAGGUGUGUAAGUGCUGUGAGGCAUUGAGCUAACUGAUACUAAUUGCCCGUGAGGCUUAACCAU